RNAcentral lists this ribosomal RNA (381 nucleotides) under Melanotus sakishimensis. RNAcentral describes it as "partial small subunit ribosomal RNA". Lineage: Eukaryota; Metazoa; Arthropoda; Insecta; Coleoptera; Elateridae. The record is from RNAcentral.
AUUAAAGAUUUUGGCGGUAUUUUAGUCCAUUCAGAGGAACCUGUCCUGUAAUUGAUAAUCCACGAUUUAAUUUACUUGUUUUUUUUAGUUUGUAUAUCGUCGUGGGUUGAAUAUUUUAUAAGAAUUAUAAUGUUCAAUAAAUAUAAAUUUAUUUUAUGUCAGAUCAAGGUGCAGCUUAUGAAUAAGAAGAGAUGGGUUACAAUAAAAUUAUUUUUGGUUUAUUAGCUUUAAUGUUUUUAGUAAAUUGGAUUUGAAUGUAAUAUUUUUUAAUUUAUAGAUGUGAUUUUGGCUCUAAAAUAUGCACAUAUUGCCCGUCGCUCUCAUUUAAUAUGAGAUAAGUCGUAACAAAGUAGAUGUACUGGAAAGUGUAUCUAGAAAGAU